UGCAAGUCGAACGGAAUCUUCGGAUUUAGUGGCGGACGGGUGAGUAACGCGUGAGAAUCUGGCUUUAGGUCUGGGACAACCACUGGAAACGGUGGCUAAUACCGGAUGUGCCCUUCGGGGUGAAAGGUUAACUGCCUGAAGAUGAGCUCGCGUCUGAUUAGCUAGUUGGAAGUGUAAAGGACUCCCAAGGCGACGAUCAGUAGCUGGUCUGAGAGGACGAUCAGCCACACUGGGACUGAGACACGGCCCAGACUCCUACGGGAGGCAGCAGUGGGGAAUUUUCCGCAAUGGGCGAAAGCCUGACGGAGCAAUACCGCGUGAGGGAGGAAGGCUCUUGGGUCGUAAACCUCUUUUCUCAGGGAAGAAAAAAAUGACGGUACCUGAGGAAUAAGCAUCGGCUAACUCCGUGCCAGCAGCCGCGGUAAUACGGAGGAUGCAAGCGUUAUCCGGAAUGAUUGGGCGUAAAGCGUCCGCAGGUGGCAAUGUAAGUCUGCUGUUAAAGAGUCUAGCUCAACUAGAUAAGAGCAGUGGAAACUACAUAGCUAGAGUACGUUCGGGGCAGAGGGAAUUCCUGGUGUAGCGGUGAAAUGCGUAGAGAUCAGGAAGAACACCAGUGGCGAAGGCGCUCUGCUAGGCCGUAACUGACACUGAGGGACGAAAGCUAGGGGAGCGAAUGGGAUUAGAUACCCCAGUAGUCCUAGCCGUAAACGAUGGAUACUAGGCGUGGCUUGUAUCGACCCGAGCCGUGCCGUAGCUAACGCGUUAAGUAUCCCG
RNAcentral lists this ribosomal RNA (774 nucleotides) under uncultured Nostoc sp. RNAcentral describes it as "bacterial SSU rRNA". It matches the Rfam family "Bacterial small subunit ribosomal RNA", at positions 56 to 871 of the family's 1533-position model. Lineage: Bacteria; Bacillati; Cyanobacteriota; Cyanophyceae; Nostocales; Nostocaceae. The record is from RNAcentral.